UUUACUAAGUGUGUCAAAUUGAUAAGUGUGUUAUGACUGCGCAAUUAGAAUCACGUCGCACUAACAAAUAGAGAUGUGCAUCUGGCAACAGAAGAGGAGAACACGCUAUUAAAUAUUGCUUUCCUUCUGUAACGUGUUUUCCUAAAUUAUUUCAAAACUUUUUUAUCUGUUCCCAGCACAACAGAUUCCUGAAAGAGUGAGACGGGAUUUUACACUAGUCAUGGUACAAAAUCACGUUACAUUCAUAUUUUUACUGUUGAACUUGUGAGAAAUAUUAAGAUUCUAUGUUGAAGAUGAAAUAAGUACACCCUUAUGUAAGACGUGAUGCCAAUUCUUAAGGCUGGCUGCAGACACAGGUGGUUCUGUUGAUUGGGGAAUUACAAAGAAGCUGUGUGUUAUAGGCGGGGAGAAGAGUAGAGGCGAGAUGUUGGGGAGAAAUUUUAAAUAAAUGGGAGUUUGUUAGAGCUGAGCAAGCUUAGAGGACUGGGGGGGAGGUGAUGGUGAUCUUGGUUUCUGUGGCAGAAGCACGCUUGCUGUUGAGGUUGCAAGGAUUAUUGGCAAAGUAAAUAUUCUGUGUUAGACUCCUGCAUUCAGGCCAAAGACAAGAAGAUCACAAAAUAUCACCUAGGCAUUUGCAUCUUUUGGUCAGCAUGUUGAUUCUGAUAAAACAUCUUAUCCCGUCUCAUCGAAACAAGCUGAAUUUACAAAGAAAUCCAUUCUUGUAUAAGAAAUUGGGAGCUGGCCUGUGAAGAUCAGCUUGGGUGAAAAGGUUGUUUUCCAUUACAAAAUACAUUACAUGAACACAUGUGUCAACACUAUGUCAACGUUACACAGUAAGUAGCAAAAAUACUUGAAAUUUCAAACAUAGACCCAGAUUUUAGAGUAUUUACUGUGCAGCUAGAAAACUGAAGUUUUAUGUUAGUUCUGCAUAAUAAAAACGACUUUAGCAUGAACUCAGAUUUUUCUAAGGUAACUGAGACGCAUAACAUGAAGAAAUUGGGAGUAUACCUAGAUGAAUAGCAGAAUGGGGGGGGGCAGGGGAGGGAGAGUGACUGGAGUGAAAGAGUCUAUUUGAAGACCAGCACCAUGAUAGUAUUUGUCUGAAUCUCAUGAAGUAACUAGGAAUAUGGCCUGUAAGAUCGUGAAAGUAAUACUGAAAGUUUUCCAGACGGCAGAGGUUGGUCAGUCAGGUCAUCAU
This is a long non-coding RNA of Numida meleagris (helmeted guineafowl), 1198 nucleotides long. RefSeq lists it as uncharacterized. The transcript has 3 exons. Lineage: Eukaryota; Metazoa; Chordata; Aves; Galliformes; Numididae. The record is from RefSeq and is a predicted model, not a curated record.